Molecule: long non-coding RNA, 3574 nt
Organism: Helianthus annuus (common sunflower)
Lineage: Eukaryota; Viridiplantae; Streptophyta; Magnoliopsida; Asterales; Asteraceae
Exons: 15
Source: RefSeq, a predicted model, not a curated record
UCAUUUCAGAUUAAAACCUUUCAACUUUCUUCAAUCGAAAUAACCCCCAAUCAAUUCUGAACACUAAAAUUAAUUGAAACCCUUUCAACUUUCUUCAAUUAAAACUUUCGUGAAAUGUUACCAUGGCGAUUAAAGGAGUAUUUCAAGGGGCAAUACCCUAUUGAAGAUGCUAAACCCACACUCUCUCACCACCACUGGUUUCAGAAUUGCCUCAUGCCGUCUUCAUUCACGGUGUUUAUUCACGAGGGAAGAUACAUUCCGAGCUUAUUUUCACAACUCGAAAGACCCUCUCUCUCAAUGUUUGAAGAUUGCCGGAGCUUCGCCGGAGAAACCCUCUUGCUCUCCAUCGUCGAGAGAGAGAAACGGGAGUGACAGAGAGGGAGAAGUAGGGAAGCGGUCGGUGGUUUCUGAAGGCAAUCGGAUCUUCUUCCCAAUCAAUGAAAAAAGAAGGUUGCGGAGGCGGCGUCUAGGAGUUCGGAUUUCUUUCCUCCGGCCAUCUGACUGACGUUCAGCUGUUGUAGUUCCAGGGAUGUGUAAUGCACUUGUUGAUCAAGUGGAUCAUAGCAAGAGGAAGAACUUUUUGAUCAAGUUGGUGAUUGUUUGGGUACUCUACUUAAGACCUUUAAGGCUCCAUUUUUGCCUUUAUUUGAUGAAUUAUUACCGUACUUGAUGCCUAUGUGGGGCAAUGAUAGGACCGAUGAGGAUUAGUCUUUUUUGCAAAUUCACCGUGAUAGUAUUAAUGUUGCUCAGAUUGUUCCUGCAUGGCUAAACUGAUUGCCAAUAAAAGAUGACUUGAUUGAGGCUAAAGUUGUGCAUGAUCAGCUUUGCUCAAUGGUGGAAAGGUCUGAUGGAGAAUUGUUAGGGCUUAACCAUCAGUAUCUUCCAAAGAUAGUUGGAGUAUUUGCAGAUGUUCUUUCUGCUGGUAAAGAUUUAGCUUCUGAAGAGACCGCUACUCGAAUGAUCAAUCUUCCGAGGCAGCUUCAGCAAACAUUACCACCAUCUGCCAUGGCAUCAACUUUGUCAUCGUUACAACCUCAACAACUUGCUCUUCAAUCCGUUCUCUCAUCCUAGAGGUUUAUAAAAUCAUAUCUUUAUUCAUCUGUUUGGGGUGUGUAUUAUUUGUUUUUAUCCACAAUAUAUAAUUGAAAUUGAGUUUUGCAUGCAUUAUAUUCAUACCCAUAUUAUCAACUCCGCCGCAACGCGCGGGUUCCCCACUAGUAUAUUAAAAAGGAGAAGUGAUGUACAAAGUUGUAAUUUUACAUAACGUACAAACUUUAGAACAAUAUGUACAAGAAAAUAAAGCCUUUAAAAUUACAUCUUUUCCAAAAUUUUAAGACACCUUAAGGGUGUUUUAGGAAUUUCAUCCAUGGAAUAACCCUAAAAUUAACUCCAGUCAAUUGGAAUCGUUUCUUCUCCUCACGACCCUCUAUGUCUUUGUUAUCAUCGUUUGGACUUUGGAGGACAUGAAAUAGCGAGAACAAAGAGAAGGGACUGAGCGUAGACCUCUGGCAACCGAUGAUAACAAAGCAAUAAGUUGUUUUCUAAAAGCUUAGCCAAACAUGCCCGAAAUCUCCGAUCAUUGGGAUUUGAACAGUUGCGACGGCGGUGUAUUCUUCAUCAGAAUCGGUAGGGCUGGGGUAAGUUUUCGGGUUCGAUUGUUCUUCUCCGGUAACUAUCAGUUGGUGGUUGUGGGGUUUUUCCGCCGGAGUUCGUUCAUGUUUGCUAUAUAUCUAUUGUUUGUAACGAAGAAUACAGAGAGAGGGGAGCAGGCCAAGGGCCCUCCGGCUGGCAACGGCGAAAUCGAUGACUUCUACGCUACUAAUGUUACGGCUAUCUCCUCUUAAUUUUGUUUAAUUUGAUAUUUCAAUCUUUUAAAUAUGCUGUUAGUUUUGUUUUUUUCACCCGACUGGUUUUUUUUUUUUAAUUCGACUGGUUAUUUGUUUUCAAUGAAUUACUAAUAAUGAAUGUAUUAGGUCUCCUAUUCAUGCCUACCAUUUGUUUAAUGAAAUUCUUAUGUGAAGAAUAGGUGAUGAUGUAUAAAGUUUGUUGCAGUGGUUGAAGAAUUUUACAAGCAACUUCAUUCUGGCUAGGCUUCUCUGUCCUUAUCAUUGUUUUUUUAAUUAUAACCUUUUUAUUGCAUCUCAAUAAUUUCAUGCUAAAACUGGAAAACGGUCUAGCGAGCUAGGACUUCAGCGACGCUUCAGGGAUGUUUUGGGGAUUCUGUGGUGGAUGAAAUGACGGUGUGCCAACAGGUCCUGGUUGGCGUUGAUGGUUUUGGCGGCGGUGGUGAUUGGUGUCAGUUGAGUUCUGAUCCCAAUCUUGCUGCUAAGAACAAACUUGAUUUGAUGAAAAGCAGUUCGGCUUCGAGAAAAGAGAUUGAUUUGGAAAACAACAUCAAAGCGUAUGCUCAUCCCUCUCAGCAAAUUUUGAAGCUGCAAACAAAAGAUGAUUAGGGAUAGAAUUUCGCAGUGGUUAGUGGGACAACGACGUCCAGAAAAGGUUCCAAUGAAUUAGAUGUGCAAAAUAGCAAGUCGGGUGGGUUGAGGCUUCAGGCAACGGGCUUAGCUAGGAUUGGCUCAAAACGGGUCAAAUUGGGUUGACAUAACUUCUAUAUACAAGUGCUCAUCUGAUUCUCUCCACUCUCUGCUUAAAGUUCAUUCUGUAUUGAAUGCGCAAUUAUAUUGGUGUACCGUACUCAUUGAAUGUAUUGCAUGUGCAACCUGGUACAACAUUCCUUCACUUCACCAUUAGCCAUGUUUGAAGAGUGUCUUUUCCCUCUUGUUGAUGGACUGUUCCAAGCAUACAAUGCUAAUGUUCUAGCCUAUGGCCAGGUAUAGCGGUGCAAACGAGCCGAGCUACUCGCGAGGUACUCGAGCUCGGCUCGAAAAAAAGUCCGAUCGAGUCGAGCUUGAACGAGCCUAAAAACAAGCUCGUUUAGUAAACGAGCCCACGAGCCCGAGCCCGAGCUUCGCUUAUCGAGCUCAAGCCGGCUCGCAAGCCGAAUCGAGGUUUCUGUUUAUAUAUUUUUUUAUUGAUAUAUUAAACAUUAAAUAUAUAAUUAUAUAAAAAUAAUUACCAUUUAUAUAAAUAUAAAAAAUAACUAAAUUAUAUUUAUAAUAAUAAUUAUAAUUAAUAUAAAUUAAUUAAUAAAUACUAAACGAGUCGAGCCCGAGUCGAGCUUGAGCUUGAAAUUGCGUGUUCAACAAGAUUGAAUCUUUACAGCAUCAACUAGAGUUCCAAUUGCGUGUCUCUUUCAUUGAGGACGUAUGUGACUUGUUGGAUAACAAAUGGGUAGAAUGGGCAAACAUCAACCGGAAUCGAGUGUAUACUAAACCCAGUUUCCCAGGUGGAAUAUGAAGUUCUAAACUUGCAUGAUCCGGAACAUGCUCAGAUCACUGUUUUCAGGCACUGUGGACUCUCAUUUUUUUGGAAUCCUUGUAAAAACGUUGAGAUCAUGUGUUGUACUUGUUAAAGAUCAUUACCCAACCCGGCUUGGGUGUUUACUUGUUAUAUGGCCCCCUCCUGUUGCCCGAGUCAUAAUUCAAACUCUAUUCCAAGUUAGCAUGUUUGAUUU